AAAGGCGAUAAGUAAUGUGAAUUGCAGAAUUCAGUGAAUCAUCGAAUCUUUGAACGCACCUUGCGCUCCUUGGUAUUCCUUGGAGCAUGCCUGUUUGAGUAUCAUGAAAUCUUCAAAGUAAAUCUUUUGUUAACUCAAUUGGUUUCUACUUUGGUAUUGGAGGUCUUUGCAGCUUCACACCUGCUCCUCUUUGUUCAUUAGCUGGAUCUCAGUGUUAUGCUUGGUUCCACUCGGCGUGAUAAGUUAUCUAUCGCUGAGGACACUGUAAAAGGUGGCCAAGGUAAAUGCAGAUGAACCGCUUCUAAUAGUCCAUUGACUUGGACAAUACUUUUAUGAUCUGAUCUCAAAUCAGGUAGGACUACCCGCUGAACUUAAGC
Molecule: unclassified non-coding RNA, 377 nt
Filed under: plant metagenome
Description: partial contains 5.8S ribosomal RNA, internal transcribed spacer 2, and large subunit ribosomal RNA
Rfam family: 5.8S ribosomal RNA (bases 1-104)
Source: RNAcentral